UGAAAGAUAAGCUAAAUAAAGCUAAUGGGUUCAUACCCCGUGAAUGAGGAUCAAAUUUCUCUCUUUCCA
RNAcentral lists this transfer RNA (69 nucleotides) under Faxonius limosus (spinycheek crayfish). RNAcentral's name for it is "tRNA-Met". Lineage: Eukaryota; Metazoa; Arthropoda; Malacostraca; Decapoda; Cambaridae. The record is from RNAcentral. RNAcentral also lists the same sequence under 2 other names.